This 503-nucleotide ribosomal RNA is filed under the name uncultured bacterium. Its description in RNAcentral is "partial 16S ribosomal RNA". It matches the Rfam family "Bacterial small subunit ribosomal RNA", at positions 30 to 523 of the family's 1533-position model. The record is from RNAcentral.
AUUGAACGCUGGCGGCAGGCUUAACACAUGCAAGUCGAGCGGGGUGAUGGUGCUUGCACUAUCACUUAGCGGCGGACGGGUGAGUAAUGCUUAGGAAUCUGCCUAUUAGUGGGGGACAACAUCUCGAAAGGGAUGCUAAUACCGCAUACGUCCUACGGGAGAAGGCAGGGGAUCACUUGUGACCUUGCGCUAAUAGAUGAGCCUAAGUCGGAUUAGCUAGUUGGUGGGGUAAAGGCCUACCAAGGCGACGAUCUGUAGCGGGUCUGAGAGGAUGAACCGCCACACUGGGACUGAGACACGGCCACGACUCCUACGGGAGGCAGCAGUGGGGAAUAUUGGACAAUGGGGGGAACCCUGAUCCAGCCAUGCCGCGUGUGUGAAGAAGGCCUUAUGGUUGUAAAGCACUUUAAGCGAGGAGGAGGCUCUUUUGGUUAAUACCCAAGAUGAGUGGACGUUACUCGCAGAAUAAGCACCGGCUAACUCUGUGCCAGCCGCCGCAGUAA